UCUGGUUCGCCAUCUCCUGGUGUUGCACUUUCACUGCCAUUCAGCAGGCUGGAGAAGUGUUCCCUCCACAAACUCAGUAUAUUCUGGACAUCCAUUACCAGAUUACCUUCUGGUCCCUACAUGAUAAUGCUCCAGUCUUGAAACCUUCUGUAAAUCGCCUCAUCCUUUCAUAUUUUCUUAAAAUUUUCGAGCAUUACCCAUGUCGGUCAGCUUUUCAUUCACUCGCAUUUCCCUCUCUGCUCUCGAUAUCUAUCCCACCCCGAACGUGUUGUGGUCGAUCGCAACGUUGCGAUGAGCAGUCUGAUGAGGCGUUAAAAUCGCCAAGCACGAUUUUGACAUCGUAGCGGGGCAGCGCUCAUAGGUUCGUUCUAGGUGCUCAUAGAAAGCAUCUUUGAUCACAUCGUCCUUCUCUUCCGUUGGAGCGUGGGCGCAAAUCAGCGAUAUGUUGAAGAACUUCGUUUUGAUGCGGAUUUUGGCUAGACGUUCAUCCACCGGGGUGAAUGCCAGGACGUGGCGACGGAGUCUCUCUCCCACCAAAAAUUCAACACCAAAUUUUCGAUCCUUUAUAUGCCGCUGUAGUAUAUGUCACAAGGACCCACCUUCGUCCGUACUUGUCCCGUCCAUUGCACUUCUUGGAUGGCGGUGAUGUCAGCCUUUAGUUGUAUGAGGAUAUCAACCAGUGGGGCAGAUGCACCUUCCCAAUUAAGAGUCCGGACAUUCCAGCUGCAUGCCCUCAAAUCGUGAUCCUUAAAACGUUUGCAGGGGUCGUCAUUAAAAGUUGGGUUUCUCUUCCGAGGCUCUGUUUGGUCUCUUAUUGGGGAGGUUUUUUUAUAUGGUGGGUCCCAAACCCUUCGCACAACCGCAGAAGCGGUCUCGGUCACUCGCCUUCUCACUUCAGCUCGCCUUCAAACGGAUUUCUGUUGGCUACUCAGAGGAUUUGAUCUAAAUGCGGAAAUCGUGAGCUGCUUGAGUCAUAUGCAAAAUAAUCGUUCCUGGCCACUCCCAAGUGAAUGACAAUCAGAAACCUUCCUCACUUGCUUGAACUCCCACAUAUGACCCCAUCCCCUUGUAAAUACAAAUAAAAUAAUAUAUUUACAAUUGAAUAAGUUGCUUUUUAAAUAUUAUUUAAAAUAAAUGCAAAACCAUCCGGAAGUACAAUGGAAAAGCUUUGAAGCCGAAAUAAAUAGAUUCAGGUCACCACAUACCUCAUUCAAAUAUUUAUAUGUGCAUUUUUGUUAUUGUUUAUAUGUAUUUCUUGUUCAACCUUAUUUUUUCAAUUUCGGUAAAUGUAGAAUAAAAGAUUGAUUUGUUGCCGUUGCUAUGCAACGAAAGUUCGUUCAUACUUUUCUUGUUCGUUGUACCGUUACAUUAAGAGUGUAUUGGUGAAUUGGGUAUUGCAUAGUAAAUAUUUAUCUAUAUGUGUAAAAUCAGUUUAGCUGAUUUUUCUUGCUGAUAGUGUAGCAGCAAAAUCUUGUUUCGUUAAAAUUUGUUUGCAAUAUUAUUUUUAUCAGCCGAGGAACAAGGAAUAAUCAUAUGAAAGAAUGGAAGCGGUUCCAAAAUGCGUCUAGACCAAAGCGACAUCGAAAAUGUAUAUCAAGACUUCUUAAAACCCCACUAAUUAUGGUACAGUGCAACGCAGCGGACGAAAAACAACAUUGAUAAUCGGUGCGAAAGGAUGAUUCGACGGCUAGCAGUUGCGGACUUGAUAAGCAGCGGUCAAAUAUGGACCUAGUUAAGACAGAAAAUUACAAUAAAUAUAAUUUUUCCAAUUAUACAUAAAGAUCAGUUUCUCAAACACACCUCCAUGGCACCUAAACCAACACUAAAGAAAGGCACAAUAAAGCACAUUUGAUAGAAUAUAAUACUUACUGACGAAAACAAAUUAAAUUUGGUCGGCUCAGAUCAUUGCAAGAAAUAUUGGAGAGAUUCCGUUCAGGAACGACGAGCCUGCUACAAGGAUGUUUUGGAAGCGGUACCUUGGUAUCAUGGGCUACAUUCUACUGCAGUGGAAAGAUAUCUACAUAUUUUAAAUUCACACAAAUGAAUACUAGUAUUUAUGUAGAUCUUUUGGCAGAGAGUUGAUAAAAUUUGCAAGCAAUAUUUAUAGCCUGUAACUGGACAUAUCAGCGGGAUAACGCAUGAAUCCACACGAAGAACAUCUUUAGCGACCGAAAAAUUCCCUUAUUACAUCGUGCAGCAUUGAGUUCGAAUCUCUGGGGGAUCCUCUCUGCUCCUGUUUUCCAAAACGGAAAGCAGUUUGAGACACUACGUCACCUUAAAUUAGCCAUAAAGCAAGAAUUGGCCAAUAUUUACAUAACUAUUCUUCAAUCAUUAGUUAAUUCUAUGAUUAAGCAAAAGUCUAUGUUUUAAAAUACUGCUGACUAUUAAAAUAAACAUUUCUUUCAGUUAAACUGCAAUGUAUAAGAUUUUACUAGUAAAAAAUAGUAAAAUGCACAUAUAAAUUACUAUUAGCCUAAACUUAAUGUUUUAUAGUUUAAAAAAAUUGCAAUAUGUUUAUUUUUUUUUAUAUCGUAUAUAAUAGUAAUAGCAAACCUGCAUACCCGGAAAUAUUUUGUAAUCUUUUAUUUUUUUUUACAAAAAGUUCAUACACAUAUAAUUAUUUGUAUGAGGUUGGACUGGAAAAGAAUGGCAGAAGCUAAUAUUUUAAUAAUACUACAAUUUAAGCAAUUUGUAAUAUUUGAUUUACUUCUGUAGGUAUAGAUAUUAUUAUACAGAUGUUGCAGGUGCUGCUA
Long non-coding RNA from Zeugodacus cucurbitae (melon fly), 2753 nucleotides. RefSeq lists it as uncharacterized. The record is from RefSeq and is a predicted model, not a curated record. Lineage: Eukaryota; Metazoa; Arthropoda; Insecta; Diptera; Tephritidae. The transcript has 2 exons.